CUCGUAGGCGGUUCGUCGCGUCCGGUGUGAAAGUCCAUCGCUUAACGGUGGAUCCGCGCCGGGUACGGGCGGGCUUGAGUGCGGUAGGGGAGACUGGAAUUCCCGGUGUAGCGGUGGAAUGCGCAGAUAUCGGGUGGAACACCGGUGGCGAAGGCGGCCCUCUGGGCCGAGACCGACGCUGAGGCGCGAAAGCUGGGGGAGCGAACA
RNAcentral lists this ribosomal RNA (207 nucleotides) under uncultured bacterium. RNAcentral describes it as "partial 16S ribosomal RNA". It matches the Rfam family "Bacterial small subunit ribosomal RNA", at positions 568 to 774 of the family's 1533-position model. The record is from RNAcentral.